This 76-nucleotide transfer RNA is filed under the name Trichormus variabilis SAG 1403-4b. RNAcentral describes it as "tRNA-Cys". Lineage: Bacteria; Bacillati; Cyanobacteriota; Cyanophyceae; Nostocales; Nostocaceae. The record is from RNAcentral.
AUACAACUGGGGCGGUUCGAUAUCUAAGAUAUUACAAGCAUCUAACAACAGCUUGUGUAAAUCGGGCAGUUGUUUU